AACGCACCUUGCGCUCCUUGGUAUUCCGAGGAGCAUGCCUGUUUGAGUGUCAUUAAAUUCUCAACCUCACCAACUUUGUCAUGAAGUUUGUGUGUAGGCUUGGAGGUGGGGGGUUUGCAGGUCCACAACUGUGGUCUGCUCCUCUGAAAUGUAUUAGUGGGUUAGGCCCCUUAUCUAUCGGUGUGAUAAUUAUCUACUCCGUGGAUUGGGUUGGCUUAUCAUAAGACCUGCUUCAAACCGUCCUUCCCUUGGACAACUCUUGACAUUUUUGACCUCAAAUCAGGUAAGACUACCCGCUGAACUUAA
This 306-nucleotide unclassified non-coding RNA is filed under the name uncultured fungus. RNAcentral's name for it is "partial contains 5.8S ribosomal RNA, internal transcribed spacer 2, and large subunit ribosomal RNA". The stretch from base 1 to 52 matches the Rfam family "5.8S ribosomal RNA", at positions 103 to 154 of the family's 154-position model. The record is from RNAcentral. RNAcentral also lists the same sequence under 1 other name. Lineage: Eukaryota; Fungi.